GUGGGGAAUAUUGGGCAAUGGGCGAAAGCCUGACCCUGCAACGCCGCGUGAAGGAAGAAGGUUUUCGGAUCGUAAACUUCUAUCCUUGGUGAAGAUAAUGACGGUAGCCAAGAAGGAAGCCCCGGCUAACUACGUGCCAGCAGCCGCGGUAAUACGUAGGGGGCAAGCGUUGUCCGGAAUGAUUGGGCGUAAAGGGCGCGUAGGCGGCCCGGUAAGUCUGAAGUGAAAGUCCUGCUUUUAAGGUGGGAAUUGCUUUGGAUACUGUCGGGCUUGAGUGCAGGAGAGGUAAGCGGAAUUCCCGGUGUAGCGGUGAGAUGCGUAGAGAUCGGGAGGAACACCAGUGGCGAAGGCGGCUUACUGGACUGUAACUGACGCUGAGGCGCGAAAGUGUGGGGAGCAAACAGGAUUAGAUACCCGAGUAGUCC
RNAcentral lists this ribosomal RNA (425 nucleotides) under uncultured bacterium. Its description in RNAcentral is "partial 16S ribosomal RNA". It matches the Rfam family "Bacterial small subunit ribosomal RNA", at positions 354 to 796 of the family's 1533-position model. The record is from RNAcentral.